RNAcentral lists this long non-coding RNA (942 nucleotides) under Lonchura striata (white-rumped munia). Its description in RNAcentral is "domestica (Bengalese finch) lncRNA (ENSLSDG00000003134.1)". The record is from RNAcentral. Lineage: Eukaryota; Metazoa; Chordata; Aves; Passeriformes; Estrildidae.
CCGAACCGAGCCCGUGAUCCCCAAAAUGUCCCGAACCGGGACCCGAACCGGGACCCGAACCGAGCCCGUGGUCCCCAAAAUGUCCCGAACCGGGACCGAACCGGGACCCGAACCGGGACCCGAACCGGGACCCGAACCGGGACCCGAACCGAGCCCUUGGUCUCCAGUUCCCAUUCCCGGUUCCCAUUCCCGUUUUUCCCAGUUCUCCCGGUUCUCCCGGUUCCCAUUCCCGGUUCUCCCGUUGCAGGCGGUGGCGGUGCCGUUCCCAUUCCCGUUUUUCCCGUUGUUCCCGUUCCCAUUCCCGUUGUUCCCGUUCCCAUUCCCGUUUCUCCCGUUUCUCCCGUUGUUCCCGCUCCCAUUCCCGUUGUUCCCGUUCCCAUUCCCGUUUUUCCCGUUUUUCCCGUUGUUCCCGCUCCCAUUCCCGUUGUUCCCAUUCCCGUUUCUCCCGUUUCUCCCGCGCAGGCGGCGCCGUUCCCGCCGGUGGAGGCGCUGCAGGAGCUGAGCCAGGAGCUGCUGCGGGAGCUGAGCUCGGGCGGCGCCGAGCGGCUGCUGCAGCGGGGGCUGCGGCGGCGCCUGCGGCUGCAGCGGCGCCUGCGCGGGGCGCAGGAGCGGGCGCGGGGGCUGGCCCAGGGUGCGUGACCAAAAACCAAAAAAUUACCCAAAAAACCCCAAAAAACAGCCCAAAAUAACCCCAAAAAAACAGCCCAAAACAGCCCAGAAAUACCCCAAAAAACCAGCCCAAAACAGCCCCAAAAUACCCCAAAAACCCCAAAAAAACAGCCCAAAACAGCCCCGAAAUAACCCAAAAUAACCCCAAAAACCAGCCCAAAACAGCCCCGAAAUAACCCAAAAUAACCCCAAAAAACCACCCAAAACAGCCCCGAAAUAACCCAAAAAAACCCCAAAAAACCGCCCCAAAACAGCCCCAAAAUAACCCAAAAA